This is a non-coding RNA of Camelina sativa (false flax), 1025 nucleotides long. NCBI's taxonomy places the organism in Eukaryota, Viridiplantae, Streptophyta, Magnoliopsida, Brassicales, Brassicaceae. The record is from RefSeq and is a predicted model, not a curated record.
AUAACAAAGAUUUUAAAAAUACCCCUCCUAAGUAAAAAAACUUAUCCUCUACCCUCUCCUCUAUUUCGAUCUAGGUGAAAAAACUUUCGUUUCGUUUCGUUUCCGGUGAUGGUUGCUGAAGGAGAAUCUGAUUUCCUCUCCUUUCUUCGUCCUCUCUCUAUCUCUCACGCAAAACAGAUUAAUUCGAAGCUGGCUUGAUUUGUGAAAAACAGAGAUUCUGGUAUGAUCUAUGUGAUUUCCUCUAUAUAUCGUGAUGGAUAAGGGUAAUUUGAAUUGGGAUUUGAUGUGAUCGAAAUUAGGGUUCUCUUAAUUGGGAUUUAUGAUGUUAGCAAAAUUUGGGGUUUCUAUGUUACAAUUUUUUUAGAAUCAGAGACGAUUAAUUACAGAGGGGGCGGGGGGAGUUUGAUCGUUGUUGGCUCGAUCAUUGAAGACAGAGAAGCAAUCGAUGUGGAAGUUUUAAUUUCGAUCUAGAAGAAGAACGAAAAGAAGAUGAAGGAGAUGGAGAAGAUAGAGAAAACGAUCGGUUGAUGAGUCGAGAAAUUAAUGCAGCCAUAGAUCUCGCCGCCGGUUCAGUUGCGGUUAUGAAGCUUUUAUCCAUCGAUCAUUCAUGACUAUUGGCAAGGUGUUGUAUUAAUACAAAACUUGGCUGCAGAAGAGUAAUCUUUUAUAAGUUUUCUGGAUGUGUCAGCGACACUUUGAUUGAGCAGGCGAUGAAUGGAACUUCUGUGGCAGAGAUAUUUGAGCAUCAUGGAGAGAGUUUGUUUAGAGAAAAGGAGACCGAUGCACUAAAGAAACUCUCUUCGAUGUAUGAUGUUGUUGUUUCCACUGGUGGAGGUGCAGUUAUAAGACCCAUUAACUGGAAGUAUAUGCAUAAAGGAAUCAUGCAUUUGGCUAGUUGUGCCUCUAGAAGCCUUAGCCCAUAGAAUUGCUGCCGUUGGAACUAAUUCACGACCAAUUUUACAUGAUGAAUCAGGAGAUGCAUACCCAAUGACAUGCCAUCAGGGGAUGUUUUUUAGGAGAUUCAA